Molecule: small RNA, 125 nt
Filed under: Marmota monax (woodchuck)
Lineage: Eukaryota; Metazoa; Chordata; Mammalia; Rodentia; Sciuridae
Source: RNAcentral
GCCAGGUGCAGUGGCACAUGCCUGUAAUCCCAGCAGCUUGGGAGGCUGAGGCAGGAGGAUUGCAAGCUCAAAGCCAGCUUCAGCAAAAGCCAGGUGCUAAGUAACUCAGUGAGACCCUGUCUCUA